AUCAUUUUUAUCACUUGUGUAACAAUUUCCACUGGUAUAGCAAGUAUGAGUAAUAAUUAUUAAUACUUCAAUUGUGGAUUUCUGUUUUUGAGAUAAAAACCUAAGAAAACGGCGGAGCUAAGCGUUGGAAGCGGACGGUCGCAUGGCCGCAGAGCUCCGGGCUAGAAACUCAAACGAACGACAAUUCCGGCACCUGAAUCUAAAACCAAACUCUACUGAGGCGAUCCUGAGAGCCUCAGGGACCCAAUGGGCCGAAAAAACAAAAAGGCAAAACCCGAUAAACCCUGCCAGGGAAUGGACAUCGGAGAACUCUGGCGACAGGAACGCGGUGCAGCAGGAGCCAAGAUGGCGUCCCUGCAUGGUGGUUGCUCCGACUUCACAGACGGAUCAUCGGAUGACGAAGGGGGAGACCACUUGAUGGCCAUGCCAAAUCCUCCUGCAUCUAGGGAGCCACAGCACACGAAAGCCCCCACCCCCGUGACCAUGGAGGCUAUUGGGGAGCUCAUGGCAGAUCACCACAGGAAAAUUGCGGCCGACGUAGCCCUAAUUAGAGAAGACAUCAGGGGCCUUACAGUCAGGCUGGGAGCAGUGGAAGCCUCCACCACUAGCCACACUGCCCAGAUCGCAGACAUCCAAGCGACGAUCCGAGACCUGCAGCAGAAAUCCUGGCAGCACGAACAACAACUAGCUGCCCAGGAAGACAAGCAACGCCGCAACAAUCUAAAGCUCAGAGGAGUCUCGGACUCCGUACCAGAGGCCGAACUGCCACAUUUUGUCCGACGUCUCCUCACCGAGCUACUAACGCCAAAGGCAGCGAAAGCAAUCAACCUGGAGGGUCUGUUCCGCAUACCACGGCCAGGAAAGGCCCCACCCGCCGCCACAGGGGACUUAAUCGUUCAGUUCCAAUUAGCCAGGGACAAAAAGGCAAUCCAGGAGGCCACUAGAGGUCUGUCAACUUACCCCUUUGAGGGGAUGACCCUCUCUUUCUACAAGGACCUCUCAGGCGCGACACUAGCAUGGAGAAGAUCCAUGAAUACAUUUACGGCCCUACUGAGGCUCCAUCAAAUCCGAUACCGCUGGGGACCGGGCCGCUCACUUCUCAUCGACAAGGAAGGUACCAAACAUGUGGUCCGUGAUAUGCAGGAGGCCAAGGAUACACUGGGCUUACUUAACCUACCCACGGAUCCACCAUGCCCACCGACACAACCAACAGGCCUUAACCCCUCACUCAGAGGACACAAUGCGAAGGCCCCAGAGUUCACUCCCCGGAGGCCACAGAUGGACUCUUACGCCACGGCCAUCACCUGAGACGGACAUUCACCACCCCACAGGCAAAGCCACCAGAACGGGCAUCAGGGGACACAACCCGGACUCGCACACUCAAACCCCUCAACCAACGAUUCGGCCCAUAAUGCAGGAACUAUAACCCCUUUCAAUCGGAGACACAAGGACUUACAGCACAGAAGGCAUGGGAACUCUACUCAGCCGUUCUCACAACAUCCAGAGACGGACCUUCACAAGCAGGCCGAAAAGAAGGCAGAAGAUGCCGCGAAAAACCCCCAGUGACAGUUUGCGUUUUUCCUGCUACAGGAUAACCCUCAUUUGUGCAAACUAUAUUGUGUCCGGGCCUUUGCCUAAUUCUCAUUAUAGAGACACUCAAGCUAUCUACAGCGGCAAAAGUGCCGAUGCUUGAGCGCAG
This is a non-coding RNA of Pelobates cultripes (western spadefoot toad), 1699 nucleotides long. NCBI's taxonomy places the organism in Eukaryota, Metazoa, Chordata, Amphibia, Anura, Pelobatidae. The record is from the annotation of a GenBank genome assembly.